CUUAAAGGAAUUAGGAAAUGACUACAAUUCAUUGCGGUGUAUGAAAGCUGCAAUGGAAGAGGAAUGCGAAUCCAUGAUAAAGAAAAUGGGGUUUCUCCUUGAAGUCUAUAAGCACAGAAAACAGACCAUCUUACUGAAAAGAAUCCCCCAAAAUUCAAAGCAGCAGGAGGGAAACAAGAUUUAGAAACCAAUUCUGAGAAGUCCUGACAGACAGAAACUUCCACAAAGAGCCUUUAGCAGAUCCUGAACCUGGUACAGCUCCCAUGAAGAACAGCAGCUCGGGAACUCACUCCCUUGCAAGGAGAUGGAGGAGGGAAGGUAAAUGCUGCCCUCGUUUUCAAUUGUAACCAGGUAUUUAAAG
Choloepus didactylus (southern two-toed sloth) is the source of this 361-nucleotide long non-coding RNA. RefSeq lists it as uncharacterized. NCBI's taxonomy places the organism in Eukaryota, Metazoa, Chordata, Mammalia, Pilosa, Megalonychidae. The transcript has 3 exons. The record is from RefSeq and is a predicted model, not a curated record.